UACAGGGGGUGCAAACGUUGCUCGGAAUCAUUGGGCGUAAAGCGCACGUAGGCGGUUAUUUAAGUCGGAUGUGAAAGCCCUUGGCUCAACCGAGGAAGUGCAUCCGAAACUGAAUAGCUGGAGUACGAAAGAGGGUCGCGGAAUUCCCGGUGUAGAGGUGAAAUUCGUAGAUAUCGGGAGGAACACCGGUGGCGAAGGCGGCGACCUGGGUCGAUACUGACGCUGAGGCGCGAAAGCGUGGGGAGCAAACAGG
RNAcentral lists this ribosomal RNA (253 nucleotides) under uncultured bacterium. RNAcentral describes it as "partial 16S ribosomal RNA". It matches the Rfam family "Bacterial small subunit ribosomal RNA", at positions 524 to 776 of the family's 1533-position model. The record is from RNAcentral.